RNAcentral lists this ribosomal RNA (443 nucleotides) under uncultured bacterium. RNAcentral describes it as "partial 16S ribosomal RNA". It matches the Rfam family "Bacterial small subunit ribosomal RNA", at positions 338 to 795 of the family's 1533-position model. The record is from RNAcentral.
CCUACGGUGGGCAGCAGUGGGGAAUAUUGGGCAAUGGAGGAAACUCUGACCCAGCAACGCCGCGUGAAUGAUGAAGGUCUUCGGAUUGUAAAGUUCUUUUCUAAGGGAAGAUGAUAGCGACGUCUCCCUAGUAAUAAGCCGCUGCCAACUACGGGCCAGCAGCGGUGGUAAGACGGAGGGGGGAAGCGUUAGCCGGAAUGACUGGGCGUAAAGGGUGCGUAGGGGGUGUGAUAAGUUGGUAGAGUAAUCCCGAGGCUCAACCACAGCACUGUUACCAAAACUGUCAGACUUGAGUGUGGGAGAGGCAGGUGGAAUUCUUGGUGUAGGGGUAGAAUCCGUAGAGAUUAAGAGGAACACCCAUGGCGAAGGCGAGUUGCUAGACUAUAACUGACACUGAGGCGCGAAAGCGUGGGGAGCAAACAGGAUUAGAUACCCCUGUAGUC